CUUGUAGAAAAUGGUCUAGCUAAAUAUGUUGAAUGGAGUGCAAACAUGAUGGAAGAUGAUGCUAAGCGGCGGCUGAAGAAUGCAGAACUUCAAGCCAAGAAAAGCCGCUUGAGGAUCUGGACAAAUUAUGUGCCCCCUCCCACAAAUUCAAAAGCAAUUCAUGACCAGAACUUCACAGGAAAGGUAGUGGAAGUUGUAAGUGGCGAUUGCAUUAUUGUGGCUGAUGAUUCGGUCCCAUAUGGAAGUCCAUUGGCAGAAAGGCGGGUCAAUCUAUCAAGUAUCAAGUGUCCAAAAAUGGGUAAUCCUCGUAGAGAUGAAAAACCAGAGAACUAUGCUCGGGAAGCAAAGGAUUUCCUGAGACGUCGCCUUAUUGGGCAACAAGUGAAUGUGCAAAUGGAAUACUCUAGGAAGGUUACCAUGGGAGAUGGACCAACAGCUGUUGCUGGGUCUGGGGAUUUGAGAGUGAUGGAUUUUGGAUCAGUUUUUGAGUUGUCUUCUAAUGGGGGUGAUGCGGAUGAAGUGUCACUACCUUCAUCAGCUACUGGAAGUCAGCAAGCUGGGGUUAAUGUUGGUGAGUUGAUGGUUUCCCGUGGCUAUGGCACUGUGAUUCGGCAUAGGGACUUUGAGGAACGAUCAAACUAUUAUGAUGCCCUUCUUGCUGCUGAAUCACGUGCUACUGCUUUGAAGAGAGGAGUGCAGUCUAACAAGGAACCUCCAGUCA
Molecule: unclassified non-coding RNA, 721 nt
Filed under: Hevea brasiliensis (rubber tree)
Lineage: Eukaryota; Viridiplantae; Streptophyta; Magnoliopsida; Malpighiales; Euphorbiaceae
Source: RNAcentral